RNAcentral lists this ribosomal RNA (253 nucleotides) under uncultured bacterium. Its description in RNAcentral is "partial 16S ribosomal RNA". It matches the Rfam family "Bacterial small subunit ribosomal RNA", at positions 524 to 776 of the family's 1533-position model. The record is from RNAcentral.
UACGUAGGGUGCGAGCGUUAAUCGGAAUUACUGGGCGUAAAGCGUGCGCAGGCGGUUCGUUAUGUCCGAUGUGAAAGCCCCGAGCUCAACUUGGGAAUGGCAUUGGAAACUGGCGGGCUGGAGUGUGGCAGAGGGGGGUGGAAUUCCACGUGUAGCAGUAAAAUGCGUAGAGAUGUGGAGGAACACCGAUGGCGAAGGCAGCCCCCUGGGCCAACACUGACGCUCAGGCACGAAAGCGUGGGGAGCAAACAGG